Molecule: long non-coding RNA, 1776 nt
Organism: Takifugu rubripes (torafugu)
Lineage: Eukaryota; Metazoa; Chordata; Actinopteri; Tetraodontiformes; Tetraodontidae
Source: Ensembl
GGAGCCAAAGUUAUCCCAGACGCUGAUCUUGACUCUCUCUUGUCCUCACAGGGCAACACCAGCACCAUAAUUGUGUGGUUGUGGCUGAAUAAGCUGGUCCUCCUGCAGGACAGGACAGCAGGCACAUGAGGCUUUGGGGGCCUGCGUCAACAAUAUAUGGAGCCAGCAGACAUCAGUCCGUUGAGGUGUCCCUCUCCAGCGCCACUGGAUGGUGUCGGUCAUCCUGAGGUGGAAUCCAAGGAGGAGGAGCUGAGGGGUUUUGUGCAGCUCUCAGUCGGGGUGUCUUGCAGGCCCCCGGGCUCGGCUGACUCCCCCGAAUCAACAACUUGCCUCAGACAACCUCUCCCCAUAAAGCCAGCCACUCAUCAAUCUGGCUGUGGCCUUAAUCUCCCAGUGAAGAAAUCCCAACCCACAUUCUCCAUGAACUUGGCUUCAGGAUGGAAUGAGACGGACAUGGAGCAUCGGGCUCUUAAAGCUGAAUCGGCUGUGCGCCUCAUAGAUGACUACCGCAGUGCUGAUACCUGCGUAGCCUCUGCAGCUAACGCGCGUCUUCAGAGGGAAGAGAUGGGCUUUGCUGACUUCACUGUGUUUACAGAGCAGACGGUGCAUCACUGGUGCUGUGGUUUCACACCUUCAGGGAAUCCAGAGACGUCUAACAGCAGACUUGGGCAGAGGAACCCUUCAAACAGCCCAUUAGAACGCCCCCGUAGUCCCGGGCAGGUGGCUUUAGGGGACUCUGACCCUCAUUGUUCAUCUAAAGCAAAAGAUUGCACCAUGAUCGGACACUGGCAGGAAGGAGACGCUGCAGUUGCGCAACCCCACCAGGACCAGCAACAGCCUCAGGAAACUGCAGCAACUUUGGUUUUUCCUCCUGCGAAGGUUUACGCCGAGAAAGGAGCGUCGGAGGAGAGCGAUCCGACCCCAGAGGUUCGAGAAGAGGGAGGCGAGGAGAGCGACGAACAAGACGAGCCAGGACGCCGCCGCUCCGACUCAUCCGCAACUCAGGAAAACUCUGCUACCUCCGGUCCGCUGCGGUCAGGAGCGCGCCACGAUAUCUCGGACCCGGUGCACGCCCAACGAGCCGACGCUGCCGUGCUGAUUCUGGGAACGCUCCCACCGAGCGACAGCUUCGCCGACUUCUGCGCAGCGCCCGCGCAGGACGACGGAGAGGAUUUAUGGGCGGAGUUCACGGACAGGAAGGAAGAGGAAGGCGAGCCGGCUUGGACCAGAGAGCGAGCCGGCUCCGUCCCCACUGAAGACGAGGACGAGGCUCCCGGCUGUAAGGCGUCACUUUCCGGCCGUGUGCACCAGCUUUUCCUGGCUAAUUUCCUGGAGGCAGGGGGCCCGUGUGCUGCCCCAGAGCUGGAGGUGCUCAGCCUCGCCGCUCUGCUUGAUGUCCAACAGCCCCCUCAGCGUGAGGACGGCGAGGAGCAACAGGGCCAGGGGAUCCAGAAGGGGCUGCGGUGGCUGCGCGCGGACCUUCACAGUGCAGUCGGCCUCCGGUUCCAGUGGAGAGGCUCCCACUCCAGCAGGACUCUGCUCAGGUGCCUCGGCGUGGACGCAGAGAACGUCGGCGAGAAGGAAAUUCUAAAACGAACCCGGGACUCGCGAGCGUUCGCUAGAGACCACCAAAGACUCCGAGUCAGCCGCCCGUUCUCCGAGACACACGGCGGCACCGGCACCUCCGACCCCCCAGGACGCACCAGCACCUUCCACCGCUCCAGUACAGGGUACGAUUCCCUCCAGCCAGACGGACUGGAACAACCGCGGCCUUAG